Molecule: ribosomal RNA, 301 nt
Filed under: uncultured bacterium
Lineage: Bacteria
Description: partial 16S ribosomal RNA
Rfam family: Bacterial small subunit ribosomal RNA
Source: RNAcentral
CAGCCGCCGCGGGAAUACGAGGGGGGCAAGCGUUGUUCGGAAUUAUUGGGCGUAAAGGGUGCGUAGGCGGUCUGACAAGUCUGAUGUGAAAUCUAUGGGCUCAACCCAUAGUCUGCAUCGGAAACUGUCGGGCUUGAGUAUGGUAGAGGGUGGUGGAAUUUCCUGUGUAGCGGUGAAAUGCGUAGAUAUAGGAAGGAACACCAGUGGCGAAGGCGACCACCUGGACUGAUACUGACACUGAGGUGCGAAAGCGUGGGGAGCAAACAGGAUUAGAUACCCCUGUAGUCCCUGUCUCUUAUAC